This is a long non-coding RNA of Diprion similis, 191 nucleotides long. RefSeq lists it as uncharacterized. NCBI's taxonomy places the organism in Eukaryota, Metazoa, Arthropoda, Insecta, Hymenoptera, Diprionidae. The transcript is spliced from 3 exons. The record is from RefSeq and is a predicted model, not a curated record.
UCGGCAGCAAGUAAUCAAAGUUUUCCACAAACUCCUCAAAUAAUUCCUCAUUUUCAUACAAGUCUAUAGUGAUCCCUAUACCUUCAUUGUCAACCACACCCAUGAUACAAGGUAAAUCACGAAUUUGACCAGCUCUCAGUAUAUUUGCAGGGCUGUCUGUUAAAAAUGCUUCCUCGAUGUCUAGCUCAUCA